RNAcentral lists this ribosomal RNA (245 nucleotides) under uncultured Gemmatimonas sp. RNAcentral describes it as "partial 16S ribosomal RNA". It matches the Rfam family "Bacterial small subunit ribosomal RNA", at positions 524 to 768 of the family's 1533-position model. Lineage: Bacteria; Pseudomonadati; Gemmatimonadota; Gemmatimonadia; Gemmatimonadales; Gemmatimonadaceae. The record is from RNAcentral.
UACGGAGGGUGCGAGCGUUGUCCGGAAUCACUGGGCGUAAAGGGCGCGUAGGCGGUCUGCUAAGCGUGUGGUGAAAGCUCGGGGCUCAACCCCGAGUCUGCCAUGCGAACUGGUGGACUAGAGCACUGUAGAGGCGAGUGGAAUUCCGGGUGUAGCGGUGGAAUGCGUAGAGAUCCGGAAGAACACCGGUGGCGAAGGCGGCUCGCUGGGCAGUAGCUGACGCUGAUGCGCGACAGCGUGGGGAG